RNAcentral lists this ribosomal RNA (478 nucleotides) under uncultured bacterium. RNAcentral's name for it is "bacterial SSU rRNA". It matches the Rfam family "Bacterial small subunit ribosomal RNA", at positions 29 to 507 of the family's 1533-position model. The record is from RNAcentral.
ACGAACGCUGGCGGCGUGCCUAACACAUGCAAGUCAACUUGACUGAAGGAGCAAUCUGACAGUAGAGUGGCGCAAGGGUGCGUAACGCGUAAGUAACUUGCCCAAGGUAAGGAAUAACGUCGAGAAAUCGGCGCUAAUACCUCAUAAUGCAGCGGAUCCGCAUGGAUAUGUUGUUAAAGGUUUACCGCCUUGGGAUAGGCUUGCGUCUGAUUAGUUAGUUGGUGUGGUAACGGCACACCAAGACUACGAUCAGUAACUGGUCUGAGAGGAUGAUCAGUCACACUGGAACUGAGACACGGUCCAGACUCCUACGGGAGGCAGCAGUGAGGAAUAUUGGGCAAUGCUCGAAAGAGUGACCCAGCAACGCCGCGUGGAGGAUGAAGGUAUUCUAUAUCGUAAACUCCUGUGAGAGCAGACGAAAGACAGAUUAUUAAUCUGGAUGACUGUAUGCUCAGAGGAAGCCCCGGCUAACUACGUG